RNAcentral lists this ribosomal RNA (483 nucleotides) under uncultured Flavimonas sp. Its description in RNAcentral is "bacterial SSU rRNA". It matches the Rfam family "Bacterial small subunit ribosomal RNA", at positions 8 to 487 of the family's 1533-position model. Lineage: Bacteria; Pseudomonadati; Pseudomonadota; Gammaproteobacteria; Pseudomonadales; Pseudomonadaceae. The record is from RNAcentral.
AGAGUUUGAUCAUGGCUCAGAUUGAACGCUGGCGGCAGGCCUAACACAUGCAAGUCGAGCGGAAGAAGGGGGCUUGCUCCCGGAUUCAGCGGCGGACGGGUGAGUAACGCGUAGGAAUCUACCUAAUAGUGGGGGAUAACGUUUCGAAAGGAACGCUAAUACCGCAUACGUUCUGAGGAAGAAAGCAGGGGAUCGCAAGACCUUGCGCUAUUAGAUGAGCCUGCGUCCGAUUAGCUAGUUGGUGGGGUAAAGGCCUACCAAGGCGACGAUCGGUAACUGGUCUGAGAGGAUGAUCAGUCACACUGGAACUGAGACACGGUCCAGACUCCUACGGGAGGCAGCAGUGGGGAAUAUUGGACAAUGGGGGCAACCCUGAUCCAGCCAUGCCGCGUGUGUGAAGAAGGCCUUCGGGUUGUAAAGCACUUUAAGCGGGGAGGAAGGCUCUAUGGCUAAUAUCCAUGGGGAUUGACGUACCCGCAGAAU